CAACCAAACAUAAUUGAAAACAUGAAAAUAAAAGAAGAUGUUUUCAUUCCGAGAAAACCAUAAAUAACGUCAAAAGCAAAGAUAAAGGAGUGUGGCGGCUGCUAUAAUUCCAAUUAAACAUAAAUGCUUGAUUGUAGCAUCCAAAAGAAAGGCACCAUGAGUGAACCAAGCUAUAAUAUAAAAGAAACUAAUUCUUUUCAUUUAGCCUAAAUAAUAAUAAAAAAAAAACUAAUAUUAAAUCAUCACUUGUCUAGACGUCACAUGGUUGAAUCAAAGACAAUAAAAAAUUGCUAGACUAAAAGCAAAGUUAAAAAAAAUAAAAAAAAUGGCUACAGCAGCGUGUAAAUCAACAUCAUCGUUCCACUCUUUUCUCCAAAGCAAGUAAAUGGAAGAAAAAAAAAUAAAAUAAAGAAAAACAUUGCAAUGUGCUCCACUCCACAAAGUGUCAGCCCCUAUUCUAAACCAAGCCUAGACACCACUUCCAAUUUCUCCAAAACUAAUUAACCAAGUUGCUAAUUCCCAAUGAGGGCCACCGUGGCUGCAACUUUCUAUCCAAAUGAAGCCAAUUCUUCUUUCACGUGGCAGCAGCANCAGCGUGAAUAAAUGGACAAAACUAAACCUCCGUGCAACAAUUCUUUUCACCCUAAAAGCAAUANCAAAACGGUGUGUGCAGACCCUUUAAUAAAAGAAAAAUUCAAUGUAAAAUAAAUUGCACAGGAACGUGUAAAUUAACAGCAAAUGAGUGGACUAGGAGUAGGUAGCUGUGACCGUCCAAGACUCUUAAAUGGCAUGUGUACUUGCUUCUCAUCAAUCAAAGUAAAAUCAAUGGAAGAAAGGAAGCCUAGAUGAUUCUCGGUUUUUGGAAAACUCAAUGGACUUUAAUUCAAUGAAGAACAUUCAAGAAAGAGAGAGAACAUUUCAGGCAAAAACAAAAGGUAAAAGAAAGAAAAAAAAAACGUUAUCUUCAUUCAAGCACGAACAUUGAAACCGUGAGCAACCAAAACAUCCUCUGGAAAAACAUUCUAGCCAAAUUGAAAGUGCAGAGUGUGUCCGACGGCUCUCCCAUUUUUUUUUCAGCCAAAAUCAAGUAAUAAAACCAUGUUUCCAACCAAGCAUAAAAACGUUGCAGCCCUCCCUUUCACAAAACGUUCNAGCUGCUUUCACUCCCCCUUUGUUCCAGCCGAGAAUGUCCAAUAAAAUGAGUGACGACUGAUGGGUUUAGAUCCCUAGGACCAUGUGUCCUUAAAUGAGGUGGGGUCCACCCUAAAAGUAAACCCUAGGUGGUGCCAUGUGUCCUACAAAAUUGGGCCCAACAACAUUUUCCAAAAUUGGCCCAAGAUGCAAAGAGUUUGUCUAAAAAAAUUUAAGCAAUUAAAAUUACAAUACAACUAAAAUUUAAAAUGUCUAAUUGAGAGUCUUGAAUUUAUUUUGCCUCCUUCCCAAUGCUCCAAAUUGUUUGUCCAAAAUUUUCCCUGAAAAUAAUAAUGCAAAUAAUUAGCUCAGAAAAUUCAAAUUAAUUAAAAUUAGAAUUUCUGAUCAAAUUAAG
This 1546-nucleotide long non-coding RNA is filed under the name Vigna radiata. RNAcentral describes it as "long non-coding RNA (VRAD_LNC013095)". The record is from RNAcentral. Lineage: Eukaryota; Viridiplantae; Streptophyta; Magnoliopsida; Fabales; Fabaceae.